AGAGAACGGAUUACCCGCGACAGGACGGAAAGACACCAUGGAGCAUCACUGUAGCUUGAUAUUGAGUAUCUUUUGAACAUGUACAGGAUAGGUAGGAGCCAAGGAAGGCAGGACGCUAGUUUUGCUGGAGGCAAUGUUGGGAUACUACCCUUGUUUGAAGGAUGCUCUAACCUCGACCUGUAAGCCAGGUCAGGGACAGUGUCAGGUGGGCAGUUUGACUGGGGCGGUCGCCUCCUAAAGUGUAACGGAGGCGCUCAAAGGUUCCCUCAGAAUGGUUGGAAAUCAUUCGCAGAGUGUAAAGGUAUAAGGGAGCUUGACUGCGAGAGAAACAGCUCGAGCAGGGACGAAAGUCGGACUUA
Molecule: ribosomal RNA, 359 nt
Filed under: Bifidobacterium animalis
Lineage: Bacteria; Bacillati; Actinomycetota; Actinomycetes; Bifidobacteriales; Bifidobacteriaceae
Description: bacterial LSU rRNA
Rfam family: Bacterial large subunit ribosomal RNA
Source: RNAcentral